GUGCCAGCAGCCGCGGUAAUACGUAGGUGGCAAGCGUUGUCCGGAUUUAUUGGGCGUAAAGCGAGCGCAGGCGGUUUCUUAAGUCUGAUGUGAAAGCCUUCGGCUCAACCGAAGAAGUGCAUCGGAAACUGGGAAACUUGAGUGCAGAAGAGGACAGUGGAACUCCAUGUGUAGCGGUGAAAUGCGUAGAUAUAUGGAAGAACACCAGUGGCGAAGGCGGCUGUCUGGUCUGUAACUGACGCUGAGGCUCGAAAGCAUGGGUAGCAAACAGGAUUAGAUACCCUGGUUAGUCCAUGCCGUAAACGAUGAGUGCUAGGUGUUGGAGGGUUCCCGCCCUUCAGUGCCGCAGCUAACGCAUUAAGCACUCCGCCUGGGGAGUACGACCGCAAGGUUGAAACUCAAGGAAUUGACGGGGGCCCGCACAAGCGGUGGAGCAUGUGGUUAAUUCGAAGCAACGCGAAGAACCUUACCAGGUCUUGACAUCCUUUGACCACUCUAGAGAUAGAGCUUUCCCUUCGGGGACAAAGUGACAGGUGGUGCAUGGUUGUCGUCAGCUCGUGUCGUGAGAUGUUGGGUUAAGUCCCGCAAACGAGCGCAACCCUUAUUACUAGUUGCCAGCAUUAAGUUGGGCACUCUAGUGAGACUGCCGGUGACAAAACCGGAGGAAGGUGGGGACGACGUCAAAUCAUCAUGCCCCUUAUGACCUGGGCUACACACGUGCUACAAUGGAUGGUACAACGAGUUGCGAGACCGCGAGGUUUAGCUAAUCUCUUAAAACCAUUCUCAGUUCGGAUUGUAGGCUGCAACUCGCCUACAUGAAGCCGGAAUCGCUAGUAAUCGCGGAUCAGCAUGCCGCGGUGAAUACGUUCCCGGGCCUUGUACACACCGCCCGU
RNAcentral lists this ribosomal RNA (893 nucleotides) under uncultured bacterium. RNAcentral's name for it is "bacterial SSU rRNA". It matches the Rfam family "Bacterial small subunit ribosomal RNA", at positions 505 to 1397 of the family's 1533-position model. The record is from RNAcentral.